UAAAAUAAAAGUUGGAAAAAAUAAAUAAAAAGUUAAAAUCCAGGAUUAUAAUACACAUUUCUCAAAUUCUAACAAGAAAUAGAAACAUGAACAUGUUCUUUUACAUUAGGCUUUUCAAAAAAUAAAAAAUAAACUGGGGUUAAUUGCGGUACUCUGAUACUUAAUCAACUUGUGAAAAUUAAACUGGACCCUUCAUAAAUAUUUGUUAGUGAAAGGAAGGAGAGAAUGCACACAAUGGUCACAUAUCAGCCUCUGGCACAGAGUGGAAGUUCAAUAAAUACAGUCUAAGGAUAUUCAGAUGUCAGAGCCUGCCCCCUUGAGAUCUUGUCAGCUUGGGUAGAACCACCAAGACCUAUGAAAACCUGAAGUCCUCACCUGCUUUCUGCAAAUUCCCAAGAGGUUUCAUCCUCACGAUCUCUGUCUCCUGGCAACCUGUGUCAUCUCAACAAUUGAAUUCCACCCACUUCCACUUAUAACACACACACAACCUAACUUUCAUGAAACACCGGUAAGCUUUGCAGACUUUAUCAAAAACUGGACCAGGAGCAGAAGAAGUCAAGUAGACUCUCUGAGGACAUAAAAAACAAAGCCAGAAAACCUCAGGUGGGGAGUUUUGGGUGGUCACAGCAGAAAGUUGCCGAACAUUCAAGUACAACGAGUCCUAAAAGGAAUAUGCGCGGGACAUCGGCCGUCUUGUAGCAGCCUUGUAGACAAAGGGAUGGCCAACCUCCCUUCUCCCCAGUCCUUCCUUGUGGGUGUUUGUUUAUUAAUGGAGUGGAGUGAAACCCUGAAAGCUGUGCCCUUGCUCUGAAGUUCUGAUUGUAAUGGAAACAGUUGCCAGGGGGGUGAAGUGUCACCGUGGUUAUCUACUGAUCAAGGACAGCAUGCCUGAGAGAGAGAGCAGCCAGAGCCUCUGCCUGUCAAGACAAGCCUCAUUCCGCCUCCACUCGCUCUGCCCUGCCAGUGGCUAAUUGAUUUGUGAAAAUGCUUGGAGGUAGUCUGAGUGAGAAAGACACUUUAUGUCUGCUUACGACAAAUCCUCGGAGGAACAAAAAAUCCAUUUCAUGCACACAUUCCCCUGCUUGAGUCUUUCUUCCAUUCAAUUCCCAAUUAGCUAAAUCUUCAGCACCCAAAGAACUAAGCAGAUGAAAAAAAUCUUCUGAUGGCCAGCUCCUGCCAAACAGAGAGAAUGGCACAUACAGAAAAGAAACCUGCAUCAAUGGUAAUAAAAUAAAAUAAAAAUGAGGAACAGAAAAGCAGGCAGUAAGGAAGGAAAAUGGCCCUCUGGCCUUUAAGCUACAAUUUAAGAGAAUAACUAAAUCCAAAAGUCAAGUUCUAACAGUGACCAGUAACAAGAAUAACUCAUGAAAAGCCUGAAUCCUGUAGUGCAACCUCCUGGCAACCUCAUUUAACACAAGUAAAUUCUAGUACACUGAUUUUCUGUUGACGUCCAGCAAUCAGUCUAGUGUCUCUAUGCAUAGACUCAGAAGUACUGUCGGUCUUCUAUAAACCCAUCCCCUGCAAAAUGGACCAGAGCAUUGGUUUGGGAUUUCCUGCUGCCCAACUGGGGAUGGGACCUGCCUUCUGACUUUCCAGUUUAGCUUCUGCCUACAGUGUAUUUGCUUUUCAAAAAGAGUUUGCCAGGGCUGUUGAAAAAGUUGAAGGAAUGUUGAUAACAGAACUGACUUUUCAUCAAAAGCUGCUUCUUGUAAGUGAACUUGGCUCAAACUCAAAGCUCUUCCCCUGUUGCCAAUUGAUCCUUGGGUACCCUUGGGUAAAAGCCAGUAAAGUUAUUCCUGGGCCUUUUUUAUGUGCAAGUGUUAAAUUUUUUUGAACAGCUGGGAUAAUGAGGCUAACUUCAUUCACUUAUUCACUCAGUCAGUAUUUAUU
This 1890-nucleotide long non-coding RNA is filed under the name Homo sapiens (human). Its description in RNAcentral is "HSALNT0327140". Lineage: Eukaryota; Metazoa; Chordata; Mammalia; Primates; Hominidae. The record is from RNAcentral.